RNAcentral lists this ribosomal RNA (433 nucleotides) under uncultured bacterium. RNAcentral's name for it is "partial 16S ribosomal RNA". It matches the Rfam family "Bacterial small subunit ribosomal RNA", at positions 29 to 507 of the family's 1533-position model. The record is from RNAcentral.
AACGAACGCUGGCGGCAUGCCUAACACAUGCAAGUCGAACGAGACCUUCGGGUCUAGUGGCGCACGGGUGCGUAACGCGUGGGAACCUGCCCUUAGGUUCGGAAUAACUUCCCGAAAGGGGUGCUAAUACCGGAUAAUGUCUUCGGACCAAAGAUUUAUCGCCUUUGGAUGGGCCCGCGUUGGAUUAGCUAGUUGGUAGGGUAAAAGCCUACCAAGGCGACGAUCCAUAGCUGGUUUGAGAGGAUGAUCAGCCACACUGGGACUGAGACACGGCCCAGACUCCUACGGGAGGCAGCAGUGGGGAAUAUUGGACAAUGGGCGAAAGCCUGAUCCAGCAAUGCCGCGUGAGUGAUGAAGGCCUUAGGGUUGUAAAGCUCUUUUACCCGGGAUGAUAAUGACAGUACCGGGAGAAUAAGCUCCGGCUAACUCCGUG